AACGAACGCUGGCGGCAUGCCUAACACAUGCAAGUCGAACGAGACCUUCGGGUCUAGUGGCGCACGGGUGCGUAACGCGUGGGAACCUGCCCUUAGGUUCGGAAUAACUCCCCGAAAGGGGUGCUAAUACCGGAUAAUGUCUUCGGACCAAAGAUUUAUCGCCUUUGGAUGGGCCCGCGUUGGAUUAGCUAGUUGGUAGGGUAAAAGCCUACCAAGGCGACGAUCCAUAGCUGGUCUGAGAGGAUGAUCAGCCACACUGGGACUGAGACACGGCCCAGACUCGUACGGGAGGCAGCAGUGGGGAAUAUUGGACAAUGGGCGAAAGCCUGAUCCAGCAAUGCCGCGUGAGUGAUGAAGGCCUUAGGGUUGUAAAGCUCUUUUACCCGGGAUGAUAAUGACAGUACCCGGAGAAUAAGCUCCGGCUAACUCCGUG
RNAcentral lists this ribosomal RNA (433 nucleotides) under uncultured bacterium. RNAcentral's name for it is "partial 16S ribosomal RNA". It matches the Rfam family "Bacterial small subunit ribosomal RNA", at positions 29 to 507 of the family's 1533-position model. The record is from RNAcentral.